Molecule: long non-coding RNA, 1083 nt
Organism: Empidonax traillii (willow flycatcher)
Lineage: Eukaryota; Metazoa; Chordata; Aves; Passeriformes; Tyrannidae
Exons: 2
Source: RefSeq, a predicted model, not a curated record
UGGAGUGCUCGUGUGCCCUCAGGCUCUUCCAGGGCUGCUGCAACCUGCACAGGGCAGGGCCGGCCCUUUGUCCCCCCACAGCAGCACUUUUUAAUAUCCACUGUAUUCCACAUGGAAGGGAGCUGUAGAGACACUUCCUUUUUAUGUUUAAAUAGAAAAACCACUUGAAAGUCUGUUAGAUGUUUUUUAAUUAAAUAAAACUAAAUUAUUUUUUUUUAAGAACGAGGCCAGUCAUGGACAAAGCUAUUUUAUGACCUCCUUCAACGCUGAACCCAAAGCAGGGUUUGUAAACGUGGUGGGUGGGAAGAGACAAAUCCAAUAGAAGGAUGCUGACUAUUUGGGAUUUGAAAUUCUAUUUUUAAGCUACUCCCCUUGCUCUCCCCCCUCUCCCAACACGUACUGGCACAAAGCAUCACAUGAACACUUUGGUGGAAAUUUCUCUUCCUUUUCUUGUGUUAAACCCCUGUGACUUCAGGAAAGUCCAAGCUGCCCAUUCAUUUUAAUUUGCUGCGUAUUUUUGAAUUCUCCAUAGAUUUCUUUCUUUGCAAAUACCUAUAACUUAUAAGCUAAAGUUUUAUUUUUGCAGAAAGUCUGCUGUUAAGCUAUGCUGAUUUUUUUGUCCUGAUCAAAUAGUGUUAAUUUCUACUACUACACUGUACAUGGCCAGGAGUAGUGUAAAAAAGAUGUGGUAGUAUUUUAUGUGCUUUAAACACUGACAAAGAUAUAAAGAGAAAUGCAUAUACAAAGUUUUACUUUCCUAAUAGGAACACUGGCAUUAGCAAAUAGUAUGUUUGAACCAAUAGGAAAUAUUACUUUGUAGUAGCAAACACUUUGUAAAUAAAAACUUGUUAUUUUUUUAAUGGAAAUUUUAUAGAAGCUUUUUCUGUAUACUCAGUUGAUCCCACGUUUACUGAAAAUGCUGCAGAUGGGAACUGUACAUUGCAAAAUGGGGGUGGGGAGCAGACAGUCUGACUUGAGGGGAAAGCUGUGUGUGAAAGCUUUGGGGAAAAAACAUCCAGUUGCCUGUGAACAGAAAUGGAAAGCUUAACUGUAGAAGAACAGAAUAAAAGAAUUUCAAGGCAA